This is a long non-coding RNA of Triticum aestivum (bread wheat), 7644 nucleotides long. RefSeq lists it as uncharacterized. The record is from RefSeq and is a predicted model, not a curated record. The transcript is spliced from 20 exons. NCBI's taxonomy places the organism in Eukaryota, Viridiplantae, Streptophyta, Magnoliopsida, Poales, Poaceae.
GAUCCCAUCUAUCGUUUCCACCGCCGCCGCCGCGAAAAAACUCCAUCGAUCCUCAUCCUUGCUUGCCCACUCCCAUCGAUCGUUGCCACCGCCGCCGCCGCCGUCCGAGGGGGAGACGUCGCCGCCGCCGUCCGAGGGGGAGACGUCGCCGCCGCCGCUGCAAGGUAUGGCGGUUUGAAUCCCGCCCCGCCUCUGCAAGGCAGGGCGGUUUCAAUCCCACCGCCGCCGAACUCCGGGAAUCGCCGCCGCCAAGUCUCCAGGGCAGGGCGGUUUCAAACCCUGCCGACGAACUCCGGGAUACGCAUAAUCGUCGUUGCCGCCCCCUCCCCCGGCUGCCCCAUGGUCUUCUAUCUCUCCCAACUCCGCUGUCGCGCCCCGUCUUCCGUCUCUGCAUGAAUCGCUGUUGUGGCAGCCACUCCCCAUGGCGGCCAUCCGGGCACACCGUGUCCGGGAUGAUGGAGGUGAUGUCGGCCAGUUCCCUGUUUCCGUUGGCAUCUUCUGCGAUGGGACCCGUGGGGGCAGGUCGCGCGCUGCUCAUCUAUGUCGAUGGCGUCGGCGUCGUCCUUCCCCUGCAAAGCAUGGCGGCUCCUUGGCUGGAUCACAGUGAUGAUACAGUUGGCUCGGCGGCGGCUAGGGAUCUCGCAGGCUGGCGUUUAUUUGAUGUCUGGGUGUUCCAAUCGUGAUGGAACGGACGUAUAAUGUACGGUAUAAGAAUUUGGACGAGGCUCAUCUGCGUGGAUGGUUGUGGCUUGGCCGCCGGGCACACAAUCCAUUGAUUCACACAUAAGACCGUAGCCAUCUACACCAAGGCUCCUCUGCCCUACCGAGUCUUGCAAGCGAUCGUCGUAAGAAAUAUUCCGUGUGAUGCCGGCAUGUGUUGUUGUUGCACUGUCGCAACCAUCCAUCUACACACCAAAUGUCAAAACCGAGUCGCGGUGUUCACAAUGCUGGGCAUUAUUUAUAUCGAAGGACGAGGAGGAAGAUUUGGAUGACCGUAACCACAAUGGCAAGGGCAGCAACAUGGUCGUCACCUACAAUGCCGAUGGGUGCUGACAUUAUGAUGUUUGGUUUAUUUGUUGAAAGUUACAGCCCAUGUUUCAUGAUUUAUUUGCCACCGGUUAAUCAUGAUAUUUUGAAGUGCUCUGACAAUUGCUUGCUGUCUGCAUCUCUUACUUUUCAACUUGCUGCAUAUACAGAUAUACACCAUUAUAAUCUGUUUGUACAAUAUAUUUACUUAUUCAACAUGCUUCAGUUAUGCUUCUUUGAAAAUCCAGUUGUAGAUUGCAGUGAAGCCCCAUUUAGAUCUUGGCUAUAGUAUUAUUCUUGUCUUAUGACUCGUGACAGAUUGAUAUGUGAUACCAUGACAUAGCAUAUGUGGUACCGUGGUAGUCACAUUUGGUGGUAGUUCUGAUUGUUUGCUAGAUUACGAGAUAAGACCAAGUGCUUCUGCAACUCGGUUGCGGUUUUGAUAGGAACAUGAAGACUUGUGCCAUGCCAUGGAGCAUGUUUGAUUAAAAGGACAUAGUUGCUCCAAUAUAUUGAGCAGGGAAGAAGUUUGUUACAAGUGUUUUAUAGAGUUGACGCCAGAGACAUCCAACGGGAUACAUUGGUGAAGGAAUCGAUGAAGAAGCUUCCGUUCAGCAUGGUAUCUCAAUGGAAGAAUAUCCGAAGCAAACCUCCGCUACUUCUCUGUUCCCUUUCAUUUGUCGUGGGAAGACCUUAGGAAGUUUCGUGUUUCAAUGACGCGUGGAGGACGACGGUCACGAGCGCAUUGUCGCAAGCUCACAGGAGGGAGGCACACAUCUCAUCCAAUAUAAAAGCAUGCUCCGAAGAAUCCCUAACCCUCCAUGGAGCCAUUGCUAGGGGGCGACGAGAUCAACGCCACCCAUCACGACCACCGAGAUGUAGAAGGGCUUCGUGACUGAGCUGGCGAAUAAAAUGUCAGUGGUGGAAACGGACAUGUUAUAGAAGAUGUUGAGGGUGGCACCGGAGUUAAUGGCCAAAUGGGGUUCCUCGGCACCGAAAAGAAGGAUGCUGCAGCGACACGUACUGGGUUCCAUUUCCAACCAGAGAAGAACUUAUGAAUGGUAUGUGCGCGAUCUAUUCAUUCUUUCGUUUGAUCCUUAUUCCCCUCAACUCAGAUUCAUUUUAUUUUGUACUUAUGCAUGAUUUUGAUGGAUCAAUAAAUUUAGUGGCAUUAAUUGCAAUGUGAAAUAUCAUAUAUCCAUAAACUUCACAUUGUUGUUGCUACGAGUCUGCUGGUCAGCUACUUCCAGUUAUCCUCAUCGAGAGUUGAUUGUCGGAUUUCACCAAGAAAUAAAAACAGAGGAAAACCCGCCGGUCUUACUACCGAUAGCAUCAAACAAGAAUAUGGGCACUAGAAAGGAGACGAUCCUAUCCACUAUCACAAUGAAACAAGAGAAACAAUUCCUUGCAGUCAUCUAUAAGGUCAGCAUGUUGGGGCUUGGUUGAUUCAUUUAUAUUGCUAUUUCUAUCCACACGUAAAAGCAUCUACGUAUCCACAAUUAAUUUGCUUACCCAUGUGAGUUUGGGGAUAUUUUUUCUCUUGUUAGGAUGCAUGUCAGAUUUAAAUUCUCUGAUAUCUAUGUAUGUAGUGUAAUUUUUAUUUUGUAAAAACCUACUAUCAGUCCACGCAUGAAGGUGCACUUAAUUUCUUAGUAUUUCUACGUGCAUUAUCUCUCUUGAAUUUACUUAGUAAUAGUGUUUUGUUAUUUGGGUCUGAAGAUACCAAUAUUGCAAAAAGUAAAUAAUUUGGGAGGAAAGUGAUUUGAACUUUAUACUGUUAAGGACAAUAAACCAAAUUGAUUUGUAUAGAGGCGUGAAUAAUCAAACCGAAAAAGGGGAGUUGAUUAGUAAGAGACAUCUAGGAUGUUUCAUAUUCUGCCGAAAAGCUCAAUAUAAAUAUGUGUAGAUGUGUUAAAAUUUGUUAACUGAAUUUCUGGUAAUAUAAUUAGUACUACUCCCUCUGUUUCUAAAUAUAAGUCUUUUUUAGAUAUUCCACUGCGGACUACAUACGAAGCAAAAUGAGUGAAUCUACACUCUAAAAUAUGUCUAUAUACAUUCGUAUGUUGUUUGUAUUGAAAUCCAUAGAAAGACUUAUAUUUAGAACGGAGGGAGUAUAUGUUAUGGUGGAUAAAAAUUCUUUUAAAUACACUAUAUAUACUGUGUACUAAAUGGUGGAAUCAUUGGCCGCCUGCCGGCCUCAACUGACAUAGAGAGGGAGAACACCCUAGAUCGGAUGCUCGCGCAUUUGCGCCUCACCAAGGUUCACUGCCUCGCAUGCUUCCUAGGCCGAACUGAGAUGCCGUCUCGAGCCACUGCAUUCUCGAAAAAAAAUCUCAGAUGCCAUUGUUCCAUUGACCUGAUUCUGAUUGUUUUGUAGACUAAAAUCGUGUUUUGAAAUUAUAUUCAUCAAGUGAGAGACACUUUCCAAUGUGCUAAGAUGUGCAGCUCAACAUCAUAGGAUUGUCACAUCUUGAAUUCUGGUUCUUAGAGCUUUGGUUUCUAAGUUCUAACCCUUAUUUGCUUGUCUUGUCUUUUGUUUUACGGGUUUCAAGCUUCAGCACAAAUCUUCUGUAGGAAAUCUUGUACUCAUAGUGUAGAAAAAUGCCGUUUUUGUGAAAUGUCACAGGAGCUACAUUACUAACAUUGUUGUAAUGUUUGUAUGGUAGCCUAUUCUUUAAUCCGUUCAAUUACAGAGUUUAUGAUUAUGUAAAUGGAGUAUGGGAUCUGAGAAGAAGAAAAAGUUGCAUCCGAUUCAAGGAAGAUAAUGGACAAGUGCAUUGGUAUGAACAGGUCGUCGACUUUGACAGAAAAUGCAUACAGAUUAUCAGUUUUCCUGCUGAGUUGUACUAUUAUGCUACAGAAUACACAUCAGCUAUUAUGCUACAGAAUACGCAUAAUUAGUUACAGAUCAGUAGGCUACUCAUCUGGUUAGUUUUCUCAAGUCAUUUCUUCUGUGUGUAUAUAUGUUAUUUUCCUUUUUACACUAACAAGAGUUUCGUGCUUUCUGGUAUGGUGUGGUGCUCCCCCCUUCAUUUAGUGAGUUCUUCCUUAAUGGAGGAUAUGGUAUAGGUAAUAGUGAGUGGUGUUCUAGCUUAUGCACUAUUUCCCCCUGGCCCGAGUUCCACACCAUAACAUGCUGCCGCCCCGGCUGCCGCGUCUGCCACGGCGCCGACGCCUCCCUGGCUCGCGGGACAUCCCCUCUAUAUAUUGUAACAGACUCGCAUGAAUACAAUUGAGUUGCAUCCUAUAAUCUUCUACAUGCAUCAUCUGGUUUUAAUGGACAGGUUCCAGCAAAAAAUGUCACGCUAUAAGGAAAGCGAGUGGGAAGGGUGUGUUGUAGGGUGGAAUUCUUGUGUUGGAACAACGUGUUGGAGAUAACAUGGUGAAUAGUCCGUACAACUACAUUUAUUCCCCACAUAUGAGUUGGAUUUGGGGGAGCCCAGACGGUUGAAUUUGGGGAGUCUGCUGGGCACCCAUUUGAACACGGCCGAACGUAUGAGGGAGAAAUGAGCUUCGACUUGUUUAAUAUUGUACAAAAAAUAUUUGCUGCUAAUAAUGAGACAAGUUCUGAUUUGUAAAUGCAAUAUUCUUCCAUGUAUACAGAAUUACAGAUUGAAUGAAAUAUAAGCCAAAGUUGAAUCUCAAGCCUUAAUUUACACUAAAAAAAUAAUAUAGGUUUGAUAUAUGUGUAGAAUAGGAUAUUUUCCCUUGAGAAUCUACUAGAUGAGGUGGUCAUUAUCGACAUCCUUGUGAAAGUUCGCAUGAUCUUAGCACGAACCAACUCACAAUGCUAUCUCGAGCAAUGCUUUAUUCACUUAAGUAUCUUUUUUUAGGAAAACACUAGGUUAAAAGCCUACUGCAAAAAAUUAGAUGCAAAGUUAUUGUAAUUGCCAUUUAUGAUCACGAACGAUCUUACCGAAUGACUGUUCUCAUGGCCUUCAAAGAAGAGAUAUACUAGAAGUUGAGCGCAGUUGGAGGGGCCUUAGUCCUUCCGAGCCAAGAAAAAUAGAUGGCGCCUGUCCAAGCUAUUAGUAGAUGGGAAAAUGUUAAAAUAUUUUGUGUUGCCAUGGUUCUUAAUGGUUAGGUAUGUGUCGCAACCUGUAUGGUUUCAAGUGCCUAAUUUCAUGUGUAAUGGUUUGCCAGGGAAUUGCAAAAUGCAAUCAAGUGUCUGGUUGUAGAAUCGUGGAAUAAGGGAACAAAAUCCUGCAUGUGUUCUCUUUAAUUAAUAGAUAAUAAAAAUAGAUAUGUUUUCAUGGGAUGAUUGGUCUUAAGCAUAAAAAGGCAUCCAUGUGCCACCUAUCAUUUGUAAUGCACAAUAACGAGUUCUAUGUUUUUGUACCACUUUCUUUAUUUUCUGCGUUAGAUCUGAUAGUAUAUGUUAGUGAAUUACAUUUUUAUCGAAAUAGAUUACAAGUGAAGAGAAUUUCAAUUAUUUUUUGUAUGUUAUUGGCUAUCUUUUGUAUACGUGUGACAUUUGAUAUGCAAUCAGUAACAAACCAAUCCACAAUGAAUAGGAAGACAUAGUAAUUUUAAGAAUAACCCAGUAUCAACAAAAGAAUGUUCUUAAUUUUUUUAAGGCCCGUGGCAACGCACGGGCACUCUACUAGUUAUUUUAGUUCUUGGCAUGUUUAUCUUUCUCUCCCCACGCCUUGGUAAUUCCCUAUUUGGAACGUAUAGACAGUGGGGGGCCGUCACUAAGAGAUAACAUCUCUCCCUUUUAGCAUCUCAAACAUGACAUUUUAUUCAUUUAGACCUUGUGUGUUUACACUUGAGCUAUUGAGAUUGAUUCUCAAUUAGGUUGGUGCACAGGUUCAUUCUCAGGUUGCUUACUUCUGCAAUAGGGAGACCAGCAGCCCCCCUGCAUUCUAUUUUGCAAUCGCAAUUGUAAGAAUUAGUGAUGCUUCCGUUUGAUACAUAGUUAUUCUUUUUUUUUCUGGGUACCUCUAAAUUUCAUUUUCCAUAGUCAAUAAAUUACCCAUGGCCAGUACCUUUAAUAACAUGAAUGUGAAUUUUGUAAGCUAGCUAGGCCAUACCUACACUUCCCAUCUGAGUCAUACGAGUUGGGCAAACUUUAUGUUUAGAUAUGUACUGCACUAUUUGAUAUAGAUAAUGAUAUUCUUUAUGCUGCACAAGGUUUGGCUGCUUUUAUUGCCUGCUAAUCAUGAUUGGUGAUUAUAGUACGACACUGAUGCUGAUUUAUUAAUUUUUUGUUAAGAGUUUGUAUCAUGUGCCUUUCCGUUCUUACAGAGAAACGACAAUGGUGCCAAUAUCAAAUAAGAAUUAUGAUACUUUAGAUGCCGAUAGUGCCAUCUACGUCCUCUGCUUUAUCACCCGAGGAGCUCUGCAUCCACUACUUAUUAACUGGCAGUGAUAUUUCUUUGCUAUUCCUACAAUAUAGAUAAAUGAUAUUGUCACUACUAUUUUAGUUUUUCCUUUUCCCGAAAUGAUACCUUUCAGUUCACUAUUCUGCAGUGCUAGAUUGCAGUCCUUAUCCGUAUUUUGUUACAAUAUUUUUUUCUUUAAUAGAAAGCAAGCUGGGGAGUGAAUAAGUCCAUGGCAAAAGCAGCAAUGCAACCACAAGGAAGCUGAGGAGAUGGAGGUGGAUUAUAAUGCUUUGGCGAUAAUAACACCAACCUUACAACCAUAUCAUUUACAAAUAACUCUGACAAGUGACAAUCCUCAACCACCUGUCAUCGUGGAAUUGCAUCAGAGAACCUGUUGUGUUGAGCUUGGACGGUGCUGACCGCUAGCUUGCCUUGCAAGAGGAUGCUCCCCUGCUCCGAGUCCAUGACAAGGCAUUCUGCGCAUUGGGGGAAAAUGAUGAAGCUUUGGUUGCUUGGGACAGUAUUAGUAAUGUCCAUGUUGUUUGACAAUCAACGAUGAACUUUAUUAUAAAGAUUACACAGUGCAUUGGGUGGACAAGCUCAACACUUCUUCUGCAGGCUACCCUGACAAUGAUUGUUUCGCUGUCGACUGUGUGUGGUUUCAGCAUCGUUUCAUGCUACUACAGGAUCAGAGUCGUUGUAGACUGGGAGGCAAUAAAAACUAUCAGGCCCGUUCGUGCUGUGUUGGGUUUGGCCCAGUUACAAGACAGAGGCAGAGGAGAUGGAUAUAAGAAGUCGAUAAGACACCCUUCUCUCUGUUUCUAAAUUACAGAGUACCUCGCCUGGAUCCAGAGGUGCAGUUAUGGUGAACCCGACAUAGUCAAGGGUAGGAAAGAACCAUGGAAAGGAGAAAGUUGACUCUGAGAUGUGCGAGCAGUAGAUAAAGACUUCCUGGUAGAGGCCCAGAGGAUAAGAUUGUGCUGUGAACCAUGCCUUUGUGAGAGGACCAAUACAAGAGGACCACAUGUCCAGUAUCCACCCUAAAAGUGUGGAGUGCAUCCGCCCUGAAUAGCUACACUGGUCUCCACCCGUUCAAUGCUGCAUCGUUUGCUUGCUUCCUUUGCUCGGUUCAGGAGCCAGACGGGGAGAAGGCCAGACCAGUGACAAGAACCUCGGGGUGUUGCGUCAUGGUUGUAUACAUGCAUGUGUUGAAAGCAUUGAGCUUAAUUUGGAUAUGUAGGUGCAAUUCCUUUUCGUGUAUAAGAUAAUGGGUUUAUAUAUAGAUUGCCCAUGA